CCUACGGGGGGCAGCAGUGAGGAAUAUUGGUCAAUGGGCGCAAGCCUGAACCAGCCAUCCCGCGUGAAGGAAGAAGGCCCUACGGGUUGUAAACUUCUUUUCUGUUUGAAGAAUAAGCUCGUCGAGACGAGUGAUGCCGGUAGGACAGGAAUAAGCAUCGGCUAACUCCGUGCCAGCAGCCGCGGUAAUACGGAGGAUGCAAGCGUUAUCCGGAUUUAUUGGGUUUAAAGGGUGCGCAGGUGGUUUAAUAAGUCAGUGGUGAAAGUCUGGCGCUUAACGUUAGGAUUGCCAUUGAUACUGUUAGACUUGAAUAUGGAUGAGGUAGGCGGAAUGUGUAGUGUAGCGGUGAAAUGCUUAGAUAUUACACAGAACACCGAUUGCGAAGGCAGCUUACUAAUCCAUCAUUGACGCUGAGGCACGAAAGCGUGGGGAUCAAACAGGCUUAGAUACCCCUGUAGUC
Molecule: ribosomal RNA, 460 nt
Filed under: uncultured Bacteroidota bacterium
Lineage: Bacteria; Pseudomonadati; Bacteroidota
Description: bacterial SSU rRNA
Rfam family: Bacterial small subunit ribosomal RNA
Source: RNAcentral